GCGGGCGUGGCGGAAUGGCAGACGCGCUGGACUUAGGAUCCAGUGGGGGCAACCUCGUGCGGGUUCAACUCCCGCCGCCCGCACCA
Molecule: transfer RNA, 86 nt
Filed under: Pelotomaculum terephthalicicum JT
Lineage: Bacteria; Bacillati; Bacillota; Clostridia; Eubacteriales; Desulfotomaculaceae
Also listed under: 4 other names
Description: tRNA-Leu
Rfam family: tRNA
About the family: Transfer RNA (tRNA) molecules are approximately 80 nucleotides in length.
Source: RNAcentral